GUUAUCAAAUCAAAACCCUCAAAUAAUAUUUCUCUUCCCUCCCCAGGGAAGUCAGCGAAAGCUCCAUGCUGCUGUGCCUGAAAAAGAGAUUCCAUCGCAACUUUAUUUAUACCUACAUCGGGCAUAUCUUGAUCUGCAUCAAUCCUUUCAAGCCACUCAGCCUUUUUUCAGAAGAUGUGGUGGUUCAGUACCAGAAUGGCCUGCUCUCCAGAAAUGCACCACAUAUAUUUGGCAUCACAGAAAUGGCAUAUGCCUUCUCUCAGAGCUCGGAGAAAGAGCAG
Molecule: non-coding RNA, 281 nt
Organism: Zootoca vivipara (common lizard)
Lineage: Eukaryota; Metazoa; Chordata; Lepidosauria; Squamata; Lacertidae
Source: RefSeq, a predicted model, not a curated record